UACGUAGGGUGCAAGCGUUGUCCGGAAUUAUUGGGCGUAAAGAGCUCGUAGGCGGUCUGUCACGUCGGCUGUGAAAACCCGAGGCUCAACCUCGGGCCUGCAGUCGAUACGGGCAAACUAGAGUACUGCAGGGGAGACUGGAAUUCCUGGUGUAGCGGUGAAAUGCGCAGAUAUCAGGAGGAACACCGGUGGCGAAGGCGGCAUCCUGGACCAACACUGACGCUGAACAGCGAAAGCCCAGGGGAGCAAAACGGG
This 255-nucleotide ribosomal RNA is filed under the name uncultured bacterium. RNAcentral's name for it is "partial 16S ribosomal RNA". It matches the Rfam family "Bacterial small subunit ribosomal RNA", at positions 524 to 777 of the family's 1533-position model. The record is from RNAcentral.